This 2891-nucleotide ribosomal RNA is filed under the name Klebsiella pneumoniae subsp. pneumoniae. RNAcentral describes it as "bacterial LSU rRNA". It matches the Rfam family "Bacterial large subunit ribosomal RNA". The record is from RNAcentral. Lineage: Bacteria; Pseudomonadati; Pseudomonadota; Gammaproteobacteria; Enterobacterales; Enterobacteriaceae.
ACUAAGCGUACACGGUGGAUGCCCUGGCAGUCAGAGGCGAUGAAGGACGUGCUAAUCUGCGAAAAGCGUCGGUAAGGUGAUAUGAACCGUUAUAACCGGCGAUGUCCGAAUGGGGAAACCCAGUGCAAUUCGUUGCACUAUCGUUAACUGAAUACAUAGGUUAACGAGGCGAACCGGGGGAACUGAAACAUCUAAGUACCCCGAGGAAAAGAAAUCAACCGAGAUUCCCCCAGUAGCGGCGAGCGAACGGGGAGCAGCCCAGAGUCUGAAUCAGCUUGUGUGUUAGUGGAACGGUCUGGAAAGUCCGACGGUACAGGGUGAUAGUCCCGUACACCAAAAUGCACAGGCUGUGAACUCGAAGAGUAGGGCGGGACACGUGGUAUCCUGUCUGAAUAUGGGGGGACCAUCCUCCAAGGCUAAAUACUCCUGACUGACCGAUAGUGAACCAGUACCGUGAGGGAAAGGCGAAAAGAACCCCGGCGAGGGGAGUGAAAAAGAACCUGAAACCGUGUACGUACAAGCAGUGGGAGCACCUUCGGGUGUGACUGCGUACCUUUUGUAUAAUGGGUCAGCGACUUAUAUUCUGUAGCAAGGUUAACCGUAUAGGGGAGCCGCAGGGAAACCGAGUCUUAACUGGGCGUUAAGUUGCAGGGUAUAGACCCGAAACCCGGUGAUCUAGCCAUGGGCAGGUUGAAGGUUGGGUAACACUAACUGGAGGACCGAACCGACUAAUGUUGAAAAAUUAGCGGAUGACUUGUGGCUGGGGGUGAAAGGCCAAUCAAACCGGGAGAUAGCUGGUUCUCCCCGAAAGCUAUUUAGGUAGCGCCUCGUGAAUUCAUCUUCGGGGGUAGAGCACUGUUUCGGCUAGGGGGUCAUCCCGACUUACCAACCCGAUGCAAACUACGAAUACCGAAGAAUGUUAUCACGGGAGACACACGGCGGGUGCUAACGUCCGUCGUGAAGAGGGAAACAACCCAGACCGCCAGCUAAGGUCCCAAAGUCAUGGUUAAGUGGGAAACGAUGUGGGAAGGCACAGACAGCCAGGAUGUUGGCUUAGAAGCAGCCAUCAUUUAAAGAAAGCGUAAUAGCUCACUGGUCGAGUCGGCCUGCGCGGAAGAUGUAACGGGGCUAAACCAUGCACCGAAGCUGCGGCAGCGACACUAUGUGUUGUUGGGUAGGGGAGCGUUCUGUAAGCCUGCGAAGGUGACCUGUGAGGGUUGCUGGAGGUAUCAGAAGUGCGAAUGCUGACAUAAGUAACGAUAAAGCGGGUGAAAAGCCCGCUCGCCGGAAGACCAAGGGUUCCUGUCCAACGUUAAUCGGGGCAGGGUGAGUCGACCCCUAAGGCGAGGCCGAAAGGCGUAGUCGAUGGGAAACAGGUUAAUAUUCCUGUACUUGGUGUUACUGCGAAGGGGGGACGGAGAAGGCUAUGUUAGCCGGGCGACGGUUGUCCCGGUUUAAGCAUGUAGGCUGGUUGUCCAGGCAAAUCCGGAUAAUCAAGGCUGAGGUGUGAUGACGAGGCACUACGGUGCUGAAGUAACAAAUGCCCUGCUUCCAGGAAAAGCCUCUAAGCAUCAGGUAACAUCAAAUCGUACCCCAAACCGACACAGGUGGUCAGGUAGAGAAUACCAAGGCGCUUGAGAGAACUCGGGUGAAGGAACUAGGCAAAAUGGUGCCGUAACUUCGGGAGAAGGCACGCUGGUGUGUAGGUGAAGCCCCUGCGGGUGGAGCUGAGACCAGUCGAAGAUACCAGCUGGCUGCAACUGUUUAUUAAAAACACAGCACUGUGCAAACACGAAAGUGGACGUAUACGGUGUGACGCCUGCCCGGUGCCGGAAGGUUAAUUGAUGGGGUUAUCCGUAAGGAGAAGCUCUUGAUCGAAGCCCCGGUAAACGGCGGCCGUAACUAUAACGGUCCUAAGGUAGCGAAAUUCCUUGUCGGGUAAGUUCCGACCUGCACGAAUGGCGUAAUGAUGGCCAGGCUGUCUCCACCCGAGACUCAGUGAAAUUGAACUCGCUGUGAAGAUGCAGUGUACCCGCGGCAAGACGGAAAGACCCCGUGAACCUUUACUAUAGCUUGACACUGAACAUUGAGCCUUGAUGUGUAGGAUAGGUGGGAGGCUUUGAAGCGUGGACGCCAGUCUGCGUGGAGCCAACCUUGAAAUACCACCCUUUAAUGUUUGAUGUUCUAACGUUGGCCCCUUACCGGGGUUGCGGACAGUGUCUGGUGGGUAGUUUGACUGGGGCGGUCUCCUCCCAAAGCGUAACGGAGGAGCACGAAGGUUAGCUAAUCCUGGUCGGACAUCAGGAGGUUAGUGCAAUGGCAUAAGCUAGCUUGACUGCGAGCGUGACGGCGCGAGCAGGUGCGAAAGCAGGUCAUAGUGAUCCGGUGGUUCUGAAUGGAAGGGCCAUCGCUCAACGGAUAAAAGGUACUCCGGGGAUAACAGGCUGAUACCGCCCAAGAGUUCAUAUCGACGGCGGUGUUUGGCACCUCGAUGUCGGCUCAUCACAUCCUGGGGCUGAAGUAGGUCCCAAGGGUAUGGCUGUUCGCCAUUUAAAGUGGUACGCGAGCUGGGUUUAGAACGUCGUGAGACAGUUCGGUCCCUAUCUGCCGUGGGCGCUGGAGAAUUGAGGGGGGCUGCUCCUAGUACGAGAGGACCGGAGUGGACGCAUCACUGGUGUUCGGGUUGUCAUGCCAAUGGCACUGCCCGGUAGCUAAAUGCGGAAGAGAUAAGUGCUGAAAGCAUCUAAGCACGAAACUUGCCCCGAGAUGAGUUCUCCCUGAGACUUUAAGUCUCCUGAAGGAACGUUGAAGACGACGACGUUGAUAGGCCGGGUGUGUAAGCGCAGCGAUGCGUUGAGCUAACCGGUACUAAUGAACCGUGAGGCUUAACC